GGGGAGCCGGACCGGGCGGGGCCAGGGCCGUCUUGCUGGCCCCGAAUAAAUGUGUGCUGUUCGGGGCUAGGAAAGUAAUAUGCUGUGAAAACCUAAGACAGCCCAGAAAACGCCCUUUUCCUUCGGGAGAAGGGGAAGGCCGGGGAGAAGCCAAAGGGGCGGAGCGAGGGCAGCCCCGGUGGAGACCGGAGAAGGCGGGAGGAGGUCGCCCCCUGGCGGAGAGUUUGAAGGGGCUAGAGGGAGCUGGCCGCCCUGGGGCCUAGAUAUGAGGAAGAUCAGUGUGAAGACCCAGGUAUCCUCAAGCGGUUCGUUGCUUCUUACCAGAUCUCUUCUUUACCCUCUUCGUGCUGUCGGCAUCAGCUGCUUUCACCUUUCUAGGUGUACUACCUGAAGAAACUUUUGCGCAAGUGUGCCAAGAAGCAAGUUCCGUGGUGUUCAUCGCAGGCCUACUUAGGAAUAGAAGACAGAACUAACCCAAGUGUCCGCGGCACAUACACGCGUGAGUUGUAAUCAAACCAUAGUGCUGAAUUUAAAAAUGAAGAGAAAGUUGGUGACUCGAACAAUCAAAUUGAGUUUGCUCUUAUAUGAGGGCAAUAUAUGAAGAGUUUAGUGAUUUGGGCUCAAAUUAAAAACAUCGGUGUGAAGACGUUGCAUGGAUAAAUCUCACAAACAUCAUCUUGAAAGAAAUAAGCACAUCACAGAGCAAGUGCCAUGGAGGUUAA
Molecule: long non-coding RNA, 722 nt
Organism: Tupaia belangeri chinensis (Chinese tree shrew)
Lineage: Eukaryota; Metazoa; Chordata; Mammalia; Scandentia; Tupaiidae
Exons: 3
Source: RefSeq, a predicted model, not a curated record